Molecule: long non-coding RNA, 511 nt
Organism: Acanthopagrus latus (yellowfin seabream)
Lineage: Eukaryota; Metazoa; Chordata; Actinopteri; Spariformes; Sparidae
Exons: 4
Source: RefSeq, a predicted model, not a curated record
CCGAGCUCCACCCGUCUGCCUCCCUCUCCGCUCCGCGCUCCAUCUUUCAUUUCCUUUACUUACGAGUCACAACGAGCGCGUGACUGUGAAAAUAUAAGACGGUGUGAUAAGAGAUGAGAGCAGGAUCUGGGUGAAUUCGUUUAACAUCGCGGUCGAGCUUCAUUCUCUCCCAGAUUUGUUUUCUGAAAGGCGGUCAGUGUGUGGUGCUGCUGAUGUGUGCUGCAGGACUCUUCAUACUUCAGUGUGAACAAACAUCAGCGCAGAAGAGUCAAACUGUCCCUGACUCACCUUGAUCAGCUCCAGCCAGCAGUGGACAGGUCAGAACCUGGAGGUCAGCUCCGGAUCACUGCUGCAGUCGGGCCGAUCAACAGGAGUGAAGAUGAAUCUGUGAGUGUCGGAUCAGAACAGAAUCUGAAGAGUGUCAGUGUGUUUAUUCCUCCAGGACUUGUGGACCUGAGCAGAAAACUCAUCACAGUUUUAAUUGCUCUUAAGUUGAAUUACAUAUUAUAAA